Molecule: transfer RNA, 81 nt
Filed under: Tuber melanosporum (Perigord truffle)
Lineage: Eukaryota; Fungi; Ascomycota; Pezizomycetes; Pezizales; Tuberaceae
Description: tRNA-Ser (TGA) (tRNA-Ser-TGA-1-1)
Rfam family: tRNA
About the family: Transfer RNA (tRNA) molecules are approximately 80 nucleotides in length. Their secondary structure includes four short double-helical elements and three loops (D, anti-codon, and T loops).
Source: RNAcentral
GUCAGGAUGUCCGAGUGGUUAAGGAGUUUGACUUGAAAUCAAAUGCGUUCGCGCGCGCAGGUUCGAAUCCUGUUCCUGACG